Long non-coding RNA from Sinocyclocheilus grahami, 89 nucleotides. RefSeq lists it as uncharacterized. The record is from RefSeq and is a predicted model, not a curated record. NCBI's taxonomy places the organism in Eukaryota, Metazoa, Chordata, Actinopteri, Cypriniformes, Cyprinidae. The transcript has 3 exons.
UUGAAUUAAAAAAGGAAGAGCUAUUGAAUAUUGGUUAACUUGCCUUUGUUAUAAAAACUAAAUUAAGUGAAAAUGGAAUUGAAAGUGAC